UACGUAGGGGGCAAGCGUUGUUCGGAAUGACUGGGCGUAAAGGGUGCGUAGGCGGUGUAGCAAGUUAGAAGUGAAAUACCUAGAGCUUAACUCAGGUGCUGCUUCUAAAACUGCUAUACUUGAGUGCAGUAGAGGAAAGUGGAAUUCCUAGUGUAGCGGUGGAAUGCGUAGAUAUUAGGAGGAACAUCAGUGGCGAAGGCGACUUUCUGGACUGUAACUGACGCCGAGGCACGAAAGUGUGGGGAGCAAACAGG
RNAcentral lists this ribosomal RNA (254 nucleotides) under uncultured bacterium. RNAcentral describes it as "partial 16S ribosomal RNA". It matches the Rfam family "Bacterial small subunit ribosomal RNA", at positions 524 to 776 of the family's 1533-position model. The record is from RNAcentral.